UGAAUCUUUUCGGCCGGGGAUCCGAUUAGCUCGUAACACGUGGAGAGUGCCUUAAGUGGGGGAUAAUCUCGGGAAAUUGAGGAUAAUACCCCAUAGGUCAUGGGAUCUGGAAUGACCCAUGGCUGACAGUUCCGGCGCUUAAGGAUCGCUCUGCGGCCUAUCAGGUAGUAGUGGGUGUAACGUACCCCCUAGCCUACGACGGGUAUGGGCCUUGAGAGAGGGAGCCCAGAGUUGGAUUCUGAGACACGAAUCCAGGCCCUACGGGGCGCAGCAGUCGCGAAAACUUCACACUGGGGGGAACCCCGAUGAGGGAAUUCCUAGUGCUUUGUGUAUUUUUUCUUAUCUUUUCCCGAGCGUAGAUAACUCGGGGAAUAAGGGCUGGGUAAGACGGGUGCCAGCCGCCGCGGUAAUACCUGCAGCCCGAGUGGUGGUCGAUUUUUAUUGAGUCUAAGCGUCGCAGCCCGCCCCGCCCCACCCUCGGGUAAAUCGGGAAGCUCAACUUUCCGACUUCCGAGGAGACUUGUUUGUACUUUGUGACCGGGAGAGGCGAGAGGUACUUCUGGGGUAGGGGUAAACUCCUGUAAUCCUAGAGGACACGGUGGCGAGCGUCUCGCUAGAACGGAUCCGACGUGAGGACGAGCCCUGGGUCGCAAACGGAUUAGAUACCCGGUAGUCAGGUGUAACGCUGCUACUUGGUGUUGGGGGCCUACGGGGGCGUCAUGCGGAAAGAGUUGUUAGUCUGCUACUUGGGAUACGUCCGCAGAUGACUCGACUGGCGGGGACCGACGGAGGGCUGCGUAAUGAUCACCGUACUCAACGGACGGUAUGAGUCAGCAUGACCUCGAUCCAAGUGUGCAUGCUUCAGUUUACCUAGCUUUUUAUGGUAUCG
This 889-nucleotide ribosomal RNA is filed under the name uncultured methanogenic archaeon. Its description in RNAcentral is "bacterial SSU rRNA". The stretch from base 1 to 747 matches the Rfam family "Archaeal small subunit ribosomal RNA", at positions 56 to 828 of the family's 1478-position model. Lineage: Archaea; Methanobacteriati; Methanobacteriota. The record is from RNAcentral.